Saccostrea cuccullata (small rock oyster) is the source of this 373-nucleotide long non-coding RNA. RefSeq lists it as uncharacterized. The transcript is spliced from 3 exons. The record is from RefSeq and is a predicted model, not a curated record. NCBI's taxonomy places the organism in Eukaryota, Metazoa, Mollusca, Bivalvia, Ostreida, Ostreidae.
UGUCUGAAGACAAUAAAAGAUGGAUUUCUGGACCAGAUCAGCUGUAAAAACUUCACAGAAGGAUGUCCAACCGAACCUUACAGAAGUACAGAGCUGUAUAAAUAUCCAGCUUGCAGUCGUCUUAACACAGAGUUCCGAUGUUUUGCUGCUGAUUCUUUGUGUGUUUCGUAUUCUAAUGCCUCUAGGACUGCUAUAGAUGAUGGAUCCGUUGACAUAAGAGAAAUCCUCGGUGUCGUCAUACCUCUCCUGGUACUGGUGGGGAUUCUGAUAGCAGCCUUUCUAUUUUGGAGACGUCGGCAAAAACUAAAACUAAAAACUACACUAAAGCGUCGCAAAAAGAUUUUAGGUAAAUCUGUAUUCGAAAUAUACUAAC